RNAcentral lists this ribosomal RNA (431 nucleotides) under uncultured bacterium. Its description in RNAcentral is "partial 16S ribosomal RNA". It matches the Rfam family "Bacterial small subunit ribosomal RNA", at positions 29 to 507 of the family's 1533-position model. The record is from RNAcentral.
AACGAACGCUGGCGGCAGGCUUAACACAUGCAAGUCGAACGCCCCGCAAGGGGAGUGGCAGACGGGUGAGUAACGCGUGGGAACAUACCCUUUUCUACGGAAUAGCUCUGGGAAACUGGAAUUAAUACCGUAUACGCCCUACGGGGGAAAGAUUUAUCGGGGAAGGAUUGGCCCGCGUUGGAUUAGCUAGUUGGUGGGGUAAAGGCCUACCAAGGCGACGAUCCAUAGCUGGUCUGAGAGGAUGAUCAGCCACAUUGGGACUGGGACACGGCCCAAACUCCUACGGGAGGCAGCAGUGGGGGAUAUUGGACAAUGGGCGCAAGCCUGAUCCAGCCAUGCCGCGUGAGUGAUGAAGGCCUUAGGGUUGUAAAGCUCUUUCACCGAUGAAGAUAAUGACGGUAGUCGGAGAAGAAGCCCCGGCUAACUUCGUG